UACGUAGGGACCGAGCGUUGUCCGGAAUCAUUGGGCGUAAAGAGCGUGUAGGCGGCCACUUAAGUCCUGCGUGAAAUCUUGCGGCUCAACCGCAAGCGGUCGUGGGAAACUGGGUGGCUAGAGUGCGGGAGAGGAGAGUGGAAUUCCUGGUGUAGCGGUGGAAUGCGCAGAUAUCGGGAGGAACACCAGUGGCGAAGGCGGUUGCCUGGAGCUUUGCUGACGCUGAGGCGCGAAAGCGUGGGGAGCGAUCCGG
Molecule: ribosomal RNA, 253 nt
Filed under: uncultured bacterium
Lineage: Bacteria
Description: partial 16S ribosomal RNA
Rfam family: Bacterial small subunit ribosomal RNA
Source: RNAcentral